AGAGCGGGUCUGCUGCGUUUCACUGGUGAAACGCUUCAUCAUCUGUGGAAAACUGGGACCGUUAACUUCCGGUGGUUCCGCGGUCCCCGCUCGGGCAUGGCCUUCUACGCGGUUGGUACGCCGAGUCAAAGGCACCUUCAACUCGGGCUGUCGUGAUAAAUUCUUGACUUUCGGGCUGUCGCGGUGGUCUCUGGACCACGAACAGUCCGCCGUUCCGGAGCCGGACGCCGUCCACCGUUCGUAG
RNAcentral lists this small RNA (244 nucleotides) under Hypsibius exemplaris. Its description in RNAcentral is "sRNA BV898_20333". Lineage: Eukaryota; Metazoa; Tardigrada; Eutardigrada; Parachela; Hypsibiidae. The record is from RNAcentral.